UCUCUCUCUCUCUCUCUCUCUCUCUCUCUCUCUCUCUCUCUCUCUCUCUCUCUCUCUCUCUCUCUCACCCCUUCCUUCACCAUCCUCGCCUCCGUUGCGCUGCACCAUCUCUCCUCCGCCUGCGACGCCGGAAACACUAUGCAAAUCUAAAACUUCGGCGUUUGAUUCCUUCUCGGAGACCGAGCCCUCGUCACCCUUCGCUCGGCGCUCGGCGCUCUGCACUCGUCAGUCGGUGCUCGGCGGUCGGCUGUCGGCGUUUGGCAGUCAACGUUUGGCGCUCGCCGCUCGGCCUAACUGAAGCAGAUCUUGUCCUGAGCCUCCUCCCAAGCGCCGGCGGCGAAUGUAGCAGUGAUUUUUCAAGUCACAAGGUGAAAAGAUGAGUGGACUUGAGGAAGGUGUGAGGAUUCUAGAUUGCAGUGUCAUUAGCCUCCGGCAAAUUGGGGUCCCGAUCGGCGUCAUUGAGGAAGGCAAGCUUUGCUGGGCGGCGGAGGAAGGUUGGUUGUCGCUUAGUCUCUAAGAGGUAUGACGGUCGGAGGAAGACUGGUUCUGAGUUGUAGCAUAAGGUUGGACGCCGGAGUUGACACCAACGCCGGUCGGGAAGUGUUUGGGGUGGCCAGAGCAAUUUUUUGGUUUGGGCUUAGGUCCUUGACAACGGGCUGGAGGUUUAGAUGCCCUUAUGGGCCUCACAAUAAUGUUUCAAUAUUUUAUUGGGGGUUAGUAACUAUUAUUGGGGUCAAUAACUGGAUUAUGUUCUGGUAUUUCUUCUUUUCUAUUACAAUAAGCUAAAAUAAGUUGAUUAUUAGGGGUCAGUAAUUGAUUAUUAAGGGUCAGUAACUGAUUAUUGGGGGUCAGUAACCCAGUUAUUGAGGGCCAGUAACUGAUUAUUAACUGAUUAUUAGGGGUCAGUAACCAAGUUAUUGGAGUCAGUAACUGAUUAUUGAGGGUCAGUAACUGAUUAUUAAGGGUCAGUAACCGAGUUAUUGAUGGCCAGUAACUGAUUAUUGAGGGUCAGUAACCGAGUUACCGGUGACCGAAAUCUGGCGACGGGAGAAAAAUUGAGUUACUGGGGGUCAGUAAUUAAGUUACCGGUGACCGGAAUCCGGCGACCGGGGAAAUCCGGCAACCAAAGUCCAGUGACCGGAGUCCGGCGGACGGUGACCGGAGUCCGACGGCUGGUGAUCGGAGUCCGAAGAGGUUCCGGCCAAGUAUUCUCUCUCUUUCACUUUUUCUCUCUAUGCAUAUUUAAGAGGUGAAUGUAAAAUAGUUUUAAAAUAAUAUAGUUUAUUAAGACUUUAGUAAAGAUUUGUGUAUUUAGGCAUAAAGAUUUGUGUAUUUGGGCAUAAAAAAUGUUACCUUAUAUUGAAAUGGGCUAAUAAAAAAGAUUGUCAUUAGAAUAAGAAAUAAAAAAUUUAAAUUAGUACUAAAUAGACAUUUUCUCUAUUUAUAAUUAAUAAGUAAUUCACUGAUCGUCUUAUUCCUAAAUAAGAAAAAGAAAACGAAAAAAAGAAAGGAAAAGCUGGUGUGACUUUAAAGCGUCAGGAAGCGCGCGUGAGGCAGAUGUCCCUCGUGAUUAUGAAGCAUGAGGCGCGCAUAAACCUAGACGAACGCGGCAGACACCAUCAGCAUACGAAAUUUCAUGACGUCAUCAUGACCAUAUAAAUCCAGCGGUUGAAACCCAACGUAGGAAAAAGAAAACUAGAAUACAAGAAACUCACCUUCGUUAUCACCACAACCACCUCCAGAAAAUAAAGAGAGAAGAGAAUAUCAACAAACACCUCUCUCUCUCUCNNNNNNNNNNNNNNNNNNNNNNNNNNNNNNNNNNNNNNNNNNNNNNNNNNNNNNNNNNNNNNNNNNNNNNNNNNNNNNNNNNNNNNNNNNNNNNNNNNNNNNNNNNNNNNNNNNNNNNNNNNNNNNNNNNNNNNNNNACAACAACUACCUCUCUCUCUCUCUCUCUCUCUCUCUCUCUCUCUCUCAAAAGCAAAAUCAGACUUCACGGAAUAAGCUUGGCAUGGUAUAAAAACGCUUCCGGUAUUCGUCUGAUUUUGACAACACGGAAAAUGGAGCAGACAAGAAAGAGGAGGGAGAAAGACGUCGACGACGAAACGAAGAAGAGCCGAGGAGGGGGCAAGAGGAAGAAGACAACGCAGCAGAUGAUCAAGGCCGACGAUAACGAGGUGUCAGCGACGGAGGAGGAAGUGGAGGAGUUCUACGCGAUAGUGAGGAGGAUGCAGGCCGCGGUCAAGUACUUUGAGAAAGGUAAUAAUAACAAAAAUAUUCAGACCAAUAUUAACAAUAAUGGCGGGGAUCAGGUGCGGUGGAGAGCGGCGCUGGAGUCUACUUUGCCGGUGGUUGAUGCUGACGAUCAUGUAAAGAGUGCGACUAAUUCGGAUGACGAUCAUGAUCAUGAUCAGUUGGUUGUUGUUACUGAACUAGCUGACAAUAAUGAGGUGGUUCUGGACCUGAACGAGGCGCCGGUUGAGGAGGCGGAGACUACUACUGCGUAGUACUUAAGCUGGCACUAAUAUUCCUAAUUGCCGUACGACGUUGUGUCAGUGGAUUCCCCGGGCGGCGGGCACAGGUUGUCGGUGUCGCUUGUUCAUCGUAUGACUUUAUAGUCAAUUUUCUAUAAUAAUUUCCAUCUGUUUUUUCUUCCUCCCCCACUAGUUUUUGUUUCCUGGUACAGUACAUCAAUCAAUAAUCUUAAGCUGUGCUUGAUCAUGACUAAUUCUUAGUGCGUGGGAAGGAUGUUCUUUUUUUUUCCUGACCUGUAUUUUUGUUUCUUCGUGAGUAUGAAUGUAAGAUCAUCAGUAAUUUAUGUUUCUCUAAGACCUUAAUAUAUAUGAAUUUAGAUGACAUAUACUUCUUUCAUGAUACUUCUUGUUUCAUUAGAUAAUUAAUAUUUUGUACAUGUUUUAUGUAUAGUUGAAAUUUUUUCUUCUUCUUGUCCAUCAAAAAUAGAUUGAGAUUUAACAACAAUAAACGUUGACGGUGAAACUCAAAUCAAGUAUGUGUUCCACACACUUGACGAACGAAUUGUGAUGGUUAAGUAUAUAAUUCAUUGAGCCUGUAUUAAUUAAGUAUGAAUUUGAAAUUGAGUAAGCAAAAACUACAUUCAGUAUAUUAAUUAUUCCACAGAUCUUACGGUAGUUAAGCACAAAAUCUAUAGGAUCUGUGAGCACGUGAAGCUCUGCUAUAUGAAAUUGCAAGAUUUCUCA
Molecule: long non-coding RNA, 3215 nt
Filed under: Fragaria vesca (wild strawberry)
Lineage: Eukaryota; Viridiplantae; Streptophyta; Magnoliopsida; Rosales; Rosaceae
Description: long non-coding RNA (FVES_LNC002623)
Source: RNAcentral